This 250-nucleotide long non-coding RNA is filed under the name Manihot esculenta (cassava). RNAcentral describes it as "long non-coding RNA (MESC_LNC002377)". The record is from RNAcentral. Lineage: Eukaryota; Viridiplantae; Streptophyta; Magnoliopsida; Malpighiales; Euphorbiaceae.
AUCAAUGCCCCAAUGGGCAAUUACAACAUAUGUUGAGUUGGUUUACAUAAACAUCAUAAAGAUCUAGGAUCAUGCAUUAAAAGGGAUACUUUAUACAUAGGUCAAGCACAACCUCUAAUCCUCAAUAUCAUUACAUUACAUGACUAUUCAUAACUUUACAUUUUAUCAUGUCCACAUUCUAUCUAUUACAUACAAUUGACUUCAAUACUCUUGCUGACCUCCUGGUCUACCCUGUACCUGCAAACCUGGG